UCUGGUUGAUCCCGGCGGAGGUUACUGCUAUCGAGGUUCGACUAAGCCAUGCGAGUCGAAUGUAGCAAUACAUGGCGAACUGCUCAGUAACACGUGGACAACCUGCCCUUAGGUUGGGUAUAAACCCGGGAAACUGGGUAUAAUACCCGAUAGGUCUCGAUUGCUGGAAUGCAUCGAGAUUUAAAGCUCCGGCGCCUAAGGAUGGGUCUGCGGCCUAUCAGGUAGUAGUGGGUGUAGCGUACCUACUAGCCUACGACGGGUACGGGUUGUGAGAGCAAGAGCCCGGAGAUGGAUUCUGAGACACGAAUCCAGGCCCUACGGGGUGCAGCAGGCGCGAAAACUUUACAAUGCUGGCAACAGCGAUAAGGGAACCUCGAGUGCCAGGUUACAAAUCUGGCUGUCGAGAUGCCUAAAAAGCAUUUCAUAGCAAGGGCCGGGCAAGACCGGUGCCAGCCGCCGCGGUAACACCGGCGGCUCGAGUGGUAACCGUUAUUAUUGGG
This 500-nucleotide ribosomal RNA is filed under the name uncultured methanogenic archaeon. RNAcentral describes it as "bacterial SSU rRNA". It matches the Rfam family "Archaeal small subunit ribosomal RNA", at positions 1 to 508 of the family's 1478-position model. The record is from RNAcentral. Lineage: Archaea; Methanobacteriati; Methanobacteriota.